UGGGCCACAGCUUCUGCCUGGGACGAUUCUGCUUCUUCUUUCUUUCAUUUUCUUUUCUUUUGUUAGGUAUUUUGGAGAUUCAAUAUAGAGCAACAAGGAGAUUACAUCAAGAAUUUGACAAAGCUCUUGGAGAAUCAAGUCCAUGCUUCAAAAAAGGGUUUUAUCUAUAAACUUGUAUUUUCACAAUUAUUUUGUCAUAUUUGUAAUGUAUUGCUAUAAACAUUCUCCUUUCCAUCAUAUGUAUAAAAUGGGCUAAGUAUUUUGUUGGGAUUUAUGGUAGUAGUUUGACCUAGGUUUAAUUGAUUUUCAAUAUUUGCUAUUUGAUAUUAAAUUGCUUAUUUCCAUGUGUUUCUACUAUUGUAUUUUCAUUUAUGUGGCCAAUGAAUGAAUAUGUUUCGUGAAGUGUACAUAGUUCGAGAGAAAAAUUAUGCAUUUUAGACCAAAUGGUAGAAACUCUAGGUUUGUGUAGAGGAUAGAUAUAUACCUCUAGCCCUAGGUGACCCAAUGAGCUAUUUUCAUAACAAUUUAAUGCGGUUGUUUGGUUGUAAUCAACAUAGAGAUAUAGUAUGUUAAACCAUCAAUUAGGGUUAAUUUCACUCGAGAAAAGUAAUUAGCUAAAAUUGGAAAAUCGGGUCUAAUAUCGUAAAUGAGUAAUUCGUUAAUUAGCAUGUGGAGAAAUUAAUUAGGUGACGGUUAAGCGAAACCAUGAAUCCCAAUCACGUUUUCCUCCAAAAUUCCCAAGAUUUCCAUAUUUUCUUAGUUUGUAUAUUUUUUUCUUUGUUUCUAAAAUCAACUCUUUAUUGUGUGUUUGUUUAUUUUCAUUGUUAGAAUUAAAUUGAUUAAAGUUGUGUAAUUUAAAGUAAACAUUCCUCGAGAGAUCGAAAAUCCGGACUUAAAAGGUUCACUUUAUUACUUGAACGCGACCCGUGCACUUGCGGUAGUAUUUUAGCGAACAAGUUUUUAGCGCCGUUGCCGGGGAAUGUUUUAUUUCAAUUAUCAUCUUUUGUUGAUUCUAAUUUUUACAAGUUUUGUUCUUUUUUCUUUUGCAUAGCUUUUAUACAUUUAUUGUGUAAUUAACUUUUAAUUUUGAUUUCCUUAUGUCUUUAGUGGUGCAUGCUUCGUUCGUGAAGUUUUGAUCUUUUCGAGUUUGAUCCGGAUAUUGGAAAAAAACUUUCCGAAGAAGGUGACGAGAACAAAGGGAAUUGAGAAGGCAACAAUUGAUUGAGAUGGCACACCAAGGGGUUAAUUUGGAACAUAAUGCUCAACCGAAAAAUGUUCUUCGAGGUGGCAUUCCACCGGGUUUUGGUAACCAAUUGGGUAAAGCUCAAGAGCCUAUUGUAAAUGAGGAAGAUAUGCUAUUUGAAGACUUCGUGAACCCACUCGUAGUAGAGAAUGAAUCAAGUAUUGUCUACCCUCCAAAUAGACAUCCAAACUUUCAACUUCGUCCGGAUGUUAUUAGUUUGUUCUCCAAUACCAUUCCAUUCUAUAGAAGGAUUGAUGAGAAUCCUCACUCACAUGUUGCACAAUUCAUCGAGAAUGUUGGAAAUUUUAAAUAUGAAGGCAUAAAUGUGGAGACGGUCCGGUUGAGGUUAUUUGUUCACACAUUGAAGGAUAAGGCAAGGGAAUGGCUUGAGACUCUACCGCCCGGAAGUAUAAAUAGUUGGUUGGAAUUUAUUCAAAAAUUCAUAACCAAAUUCUUUCCACCCUCCCGAGUAGCCAAACUCAAGCAUGACAUAACCACUUUCCAACAAUUCGAAUUUGACAGCUUUCACGAGGAUUGGGAGAGGUUCAAGGAUAUGCUUCGAAAAUGUCCAAAUCAUGGAAUCACAAUGGGGCAACAAGUGAAUUAUUUUUAUGUUGGGUUGACUCCUUCUUGCUGUUCAAAUGUGGAUUCAUCAUCUAAUGGCUCAAUCAAGAAGAAGAGUAUUCGAGAAGCAUAUGAUCUAUUUGAGGUCAUGAGUGAACAAAGUGCUAUGUGGCUGGAUAGAGGUUCACAAAAAGGGGUUGGUGGAGUUUGAGAUGGUGAAGCUUUCUCAAUGGUUCUAGCAAAGAUCGACUCACUAGCAAAGAAGGUAGAAGGACUUUCUACAUCCACCUCGAGCUCUCAUUCCGCUCAUAUGGUACAAUCUCCGCCUAUUUGUGAUAUUUGUGGAGCAAAUCACCCAAGCCCGAGUUGUCCAUUGAUAGGUAGUGGUUCAGCAUCUACCGAGCAAGUGGCAUAUACUCAAAACUUUCAACGCCAAGGGUACAAUCCUUAUUCGUAAACUUAUAACCCCAGCUGGCGAAAUCAUCCGAACUUUUCUUAUGGAAAUAAUCAAAAUGUGCUCAACCCGAGGCCAUAAGAGAAAAAAGAAAGUUGGGAAGAGGCCAUUGCUAAGUUGGCAAACCAUCAAUUGUAAUAUCAAGAACGCAAUGAUGCCUCUUUGAAAAUCUUGGAACAUUAAGUGGGUCAAAUUGCCAAGCUUAUCUCUGAAAGGCAACAAGGGGCAUUGCCUAGCAACACCGAAACAAAUCCAAGGGAGAAUGUACAAGCUAUUACCACUAGAAGUGGGAUGCAAUUGCCCGAAAUCACGGUGUCAUACCCUAAGGGUCAAACCGACAAGGCACCCAUUGAAGAAGAAAGGAUUAUGCAAAAACUUGAUCAAAGGAUGAGAUACUAAUUGAAGAAGAACCGGAGCCAUCAACAUCAAAGGCUCCAAUACCGGUCAAAGCCUAUGUGCCUCCUAUUCCUUUCUCACAAAGGCUUCACAAAUAGAAAUUGGAUGCUCAAUUCGGAAAAUUUUUGGAGGUAUUCAAGAUGCUACACAUAAACAUUCUGUUUGUCGAUGCAUUAGCUCAAAUGUCGAGUAAUGCCAAAUUUAUGAAGGACAUUCUUUCAAACAAAAGGAAACUCAAAGAACAUGAGACGUAAUGCUAACGAAAGAGUGUAGUGCUAUCCUUUAAAAGAAGCUACCACCGAAAAUCAAAGAUCCAAGGAGUUUUACUAUUCCAUGCACUAUUGGAGAUUUAAAUUUUAAUAAAGCUUUAUGUAAUCUUGGUACCAGUAUUAAUUUCAUGCCUUUGUCUAGUUUCAGGAAGCUGGGAUUGGGAGAAGCUAAGGCCACCAUUGUAUCAUUACAAUUGGUUGAUCGAUCAAUUAAAUAUCCUCGGGGUGUCAUUGAGGAUGUACUGGUCAAGGUGGACAAAUUCAUAUUUCCAGCCGAUUUCAUAAUUCUUGACAUGAAAAAGGAUCAUGACAUCCCUAUCAUUUUAGGACGACCAUUUCUUGCCACUGGCUGAGCUUUGAUUGAUGUACAAGAGGGGCAGCUCAUUCUAAGAGUCCAAGAUGAAAAAGUUACAUUCAAUAACUUGAAGGCCAUCAAGUAUCUAUUGGAAUCUGAUUCAUGCCUUCGAGUGGAUGUUAUUGAUCAUGUGGUUGCCAAGUCUUUUUAUUGGCUUUCUAAGGAUCCUCUAGAAACAUGUCUUGUUUAUCCUUCGGCUAUCAAAGAGGAAGAUCCUGAAGUUGAGCAUAUGGUACACUAUUUGGAGGCUACACCUUCUCGGUCUUAUAAGAUAGCACCAAAUUAUGAGGACUCGAAAAAGAGCUCUUCACCACCACUGCCAUCUUUUCAGCAAGCACCUAUACUUAAUUUGAAGCCUCUUCCAUCUCAUUUGAGGUAUACUUAUUUGGGAGAGUCAUCUAUGCUUUCGAUUAUCAUUGCUAAUUUCUUAAAUGAAUUGGAGGAAGAGAAGUUGCUUCGGGUGUUGAGGGAGCACAAGGGAGCCAUUGGUUGGACUAUUGCAGAUAUUAAAGGAAUUAGUCCUUCACUAUGCAUGCACAAAAUCCUUAUGGAGGAUGAUUUCAAACCAUCAGUGGAGCAUCAAAGGCGGUUGAACCCCAACAUGAAAGAAGUGGUAAGAGCCGAGGUGGUAAAGUGGCUUGAUACGGGCAUUAUUUAUCCGAUUUCAGAUAGUGCAUGAGUGAGCCCCAUUCAAGUGGUACCAAAGAAAGGAGGUGUGAUGGUUGUGGAAAAUGAGGAUAAUGAGCUUAUACCUACUAGCCCCGUGACCGGUUGGAGGGUAUGCAUAGAUUACCGCAAGCUUAACAAGGUUACAAGGAAGGAUCACUUUCCUCUUCCUUUUAUUGAUCAAAUGCUUGAGCGGUUAGCAGGGUAUUCUCAUUAUUGUUUUUUGGAUGGGUAUUUAGGCUAUAAUCAAACUCCUAUAGCCCCAGAGGAUCAAGAGAAAACUAUCUUCACAUGCCCAUAUGGUAAAUUUGCAUAUAGAAGGAUGCCCUUUGGCCUUUGCAACGCACCCGCCACUUUCCAAAGGUGUAUGAUGGCUAUAUUCUCCGAUAUGGUGGAGAAAUGUAUUGAGGUUUUUAUGAAUGACUUCUCCGUAUUUGGGGCCUUAUUUGACGGAUGUUUGAGCAAUUUAGAGAUGGUGUUGAAAAGAUGUGAGGAGACAAAUUUAGUACUUAAUUGGGAAAAAUGUCAUUUCAUGGUCCAGGAAGACAUAGUUCUCGGCCAUCAGAUUUCACGUAAAGGGAUAGAGGUUGACAAUGCAAAAAUCCAAGACAUUGAGAAAUUACCUCCACCUACCUCGAUGACAGGGAUAAGGAGUUUUUUGGGACAUGCCGGAUUUUAUAGGAGGUUUAUCAAGGACUUCUCGAAGGUCACAAAGUCACUUUGCUCCUUACUUGAGAAAAACACUCCAUUUGAUUUUUCUCAAGAGUGCCUCCAUGCUUUUAACACUCUUAAAGAGAAACUCAUCACGGCUCCUAUCAUUGUAGCUCCGGAUUGGAAUUUACCAUUUGAAGUUAUGUACGAUGCAAGCGAUUAUGCCAUUGGAGCAGUUUUGGGGUAAAGGAGAAAUAAAAUUUUGCAUGUUAUUUACUAUGCUAGUUGGACUUUGACUGAUGUUCAACUGAACUAUGCCAUUACUGAAAAAGAGAUGCUCGCAGUGGUAUUUGCAUUUUAUAAAUUUCGAUCUUACCUCAUUGGAUCGAAAGUGAUGGUUUUCAUGGACCACUCAGCCCUCACGCAUUUGCUAGCAAAGAAAGAUGCCUAGCCUCGAUUAAUUAGAUGGGUCCUUCUUCUACAAGAGUUCGACUUGAAAAUUCACAAUAAAAAAGGGACCCUAAAUAUUGUUGCCGAUCAUUUGUCUCGACUUAAGCAAACCAAAGAGGUGGUGGAUGGGGAGAUAAAUGAGAUAUUUCCCGAUGAACAACUCUUGCAAAUUAUGCAUCUUUUACAAGCCACCCAUAUACCAUGGUAUGCGGACCAUGUGAACUUUCUUGCUAGUGGCAUCAUUUCCCCGGAUCUCUCUUACCAACAAAGGAAGAAGUUCUUCGCCGACAUCAAGCAUUAUUUUUGGGAUGACCCUUUGUUGUUCAAACGGGGCCCGGAUCAAAUUAUUCGGAGAUGUGUGCUGGAAGAUGAAAUGGAGCAAAUCCUUGAACAAUGUCAUUCCUGACCCUAUGGUGAUCACUUCGGGGCCGUGAAAACCGCAUCAAAGGUACUUCAAUCCGAUUUUUAUUGGCCCACAUUAUUCAAAGAUGCUCACACUUUUGUCUACAAGUGCGACAAAUGCCAACGCAGUGGUAAUAUUUCCAACCGAAAUGAAAUGCCUUUGAAUUCUAUAUUAGGGCUGGAAAUUUUUGAUUGUGGGGUAUUGAUUUUAUAGGACCUUUUCCUCCUUCAUUCUCAAAUCAAUACAUAUUGUUAGCGAUUGAUUACGUGUUAAAGUGGGUAGAUGCGGUGGCUUUGCCCGCUAAUGAUGCUCGGGUGGUAGUAAACUUUUUUAAAAGAAAAAUAUUUUCUCUCUCUAUGGCACUCCCCGAGCUAUCAUUAGUGAUGGAGGUAAACAUUUUUGUAAUCGCCUCUUCGACUCAGUAUUGACCAAAUAUGGAGUAAAGCAUCGUAUAGCCACUCCCUAUCAUCCCCAAACUAGUGGCCAAGUUGAAAUUUCGAAUCGGGAGUUGAAGAGAAUUUUUGAAUCGACGAUGAGUGCCUCUAGAAAAGAUUGGUCCAAGAAAUUGGAUGAUGCAUUAUGGGCUUAUCAUACUACGUUCAAAACGUCCAUUGGUAAGUCUCCCUAUCGUCUUUUGUUUGGGAAAGCUUGUCACCUCCCAGUAGAACUUGAGCAUCGAACUUAUUUGGCAGUAAAAGCUUUGAAUUUGAUGUGAAAUCCAAUUGAAUGAACUGGAUGAAGUCCACCUUGACUCUUAUGAGAAUGCUCAAAUUUACAAAGAAAAGACAAAGAAAUGGCAUGAUAAACACAUUGUGAAACACGAGUUCUUUGUUGGGCAACAAGUUCCUCUCUACAAUUCUCGACUCUGAUUCUUUCCCGGAAAGCUCCGCUCGAGAUGGUUUGGUCCUUUUACCAUUGCUAAGAUUUUUCCACAUGGAGCAAUUAACCUUCAUCAUGAGGAAAGGCGAAUUUCAAGGUUAACGGGCAACAAUUGAAACCAUACUUUGGAGGUGAUUUUUCUAAGGAAAAGUCCUCUAUUCCUCUUGCCAAUUGGAGUGAACAAGGCCUAUAGUCGAGCUAGGGACUAUAACCAAGCGCUUGUUGGGAGGCAACCCAACUUUCUUAUCCUUACACUUUUAUUUAUGUUACUUGUGAUUAAUACUUUUGUUAUUACAUUUUGAAUUAAUAGAAUUCUUUUGUAGGUCAAAAUUUUUGAAGUCCUAGCCACCUAUAGAUCUCAACAAGUUUGGGGGUGCAUGGUCCACUAAGUCAUAAACCAAAAAUUUGUCUACAACAUCCUUCAACAAACACCUAAUCAGGGAAGUUUUGUCAACCCUCUCUCUUUAUUUUGUAUUUAUGCACACAUCGAAGACAAUGUGUAGUUUAAGUUUGGGGGUGAUUGUGCUUGAAUUGGUGAUAUUGUAUUGAUAUGUUAGAUAGCCUUGGCAGCUUUCCAUGGUUUUGAUGUUUGAAAAUGUUAUUGAUUCAUGAGUUAUGCAUACAUGACCAAAAAUGCUAUUUGUGCGUAUUUUUUUUUCAAAAAAAUUGCUUAUCUAUUGUGAGAUUUUGAAUUACUUUGAGCACAAUAGUUAUGAUUAAUUGUUAUCUAGAUGUGAAAAAUUUUUGAUUGAAAGAUAUAUUUUUUUGAAUUGGUUGAACUAGGUUGUGACUUGUGAGUUGUUUGGAAAUUUUUGUCAAUCUAUAUUCUCUUUUGUUUCACUUUACCACAUUGUGAGAUAAGUUUGGGGGUGGUUGAGCCGAUGAAGGAGAUUAUCUAGAAGUGGGUGAUUUUGUGCAUGUUGAAAAUAUUUGUGUGGAGUGUCUUUUGUCGAGUAUAAGCUAGGUAAUGACUGUAUGCUAGGGAUCUAAGCCCCUUUUAAAAAAAAUGAAGUUAUUACACUUGUUAAAUCUUGGGCCUCACUUCGUAGCCUUUUUACUCGAGUUAUUAAGUCCAUAGGGGUAUUUUGAAACCCAAUACCCUUUGACCUAAACAACCGGGGAGUUGUCGACCCAAAACUCGCUACAAGGGUCAAGAAGAAAGCUUAAGAAAAUGAGGUAAAACAUGGGAUUCAACUAAAAAGAAAAAAAAUGUUAUUGAUAUUUGGCUUAGAUAACUAGUGGGUUUGAAUUGCUUAGUAUAAACUUGAAUGUGAAAGCACUCAUUAGUAGAGAAUCAUCACAUGACUAGAGAUUGAUAUUACCAGUUAGACCCAACCGAACUAGAGCGGGAAAAGAAAUGAGUGAAUUGAGAGCAGCCUUAGAUUUACACAUCGGGGAAAGAAAUGAAUAUUCAUUUGAGGAGUGUAAAUUUCAUGAGUGGGAAAGGAAAUAUUUGACCACAAAGGGUCGGGUUGGAGCCAAUUUGAAGAUUUUUCCGUCUUGACAAAUUUUUCCUAAUUUAGAUAAUGAUUGAAAGUGACUUUACACACACACACACCGAUCGAACAUUGGAUAAGCUUAAUUUAUUUUUGCUAGCAUUAUUUGGAGCAUAUUUGUGAAUUGAUUAUACAAUUUUACCCUCACUGAUAUUUUUGGCAAGCUAUUUAGUGUGUUAACAUCUUGCUCGGGACGAGCAAGAGUUUAAGUUUGGGUGUGUGAUAAGUGUAUUUUUGCACACUUAUUGGGCACUUAAUUUUAUAUAAUUAUUGAUUAAAUGAAUGAAAUUCCACUCACAAUUAUGUAAUAUUCGUUUUUGUAGGCUAAAAAUCACUCAAGUAAAGCGAACAAGACAAAAUAAGGAAAAUGGACUAAAAGCGUACACCAUUUAUGACGUUGGGCCAAGGAAAACAAGUCAAAAAGUGAAGGACCUUGGGGUGCAAUCUAUGGAGGGCAUAAUUGAAAGAAAAGUCAAAAUCUAGGGACCAAAUUGUACAAGAUCAAAGUUGAGGGACCUGAUGCGCAAUUAUCCUAGGGACUGAGCUGCAAAUUGACCAAAAUUCUGUAUUUUGGUUGCUGGACAGAUUCUUGGGUGCUGCCGCACCCUUUUUAUUUAAAAAGAAUCUUGGGAACCAUUUUGUCUUAUUUUCAAAACUUCAGUGACCAAAGCUGCAAUUUUCCUUAGGCUUUAAUGUUACAAACAGCAGCUGGGCAGAAUUCAGAGAAAAGAAUUCUGGGUCGCAGCUUCUGCCUGGGACAAUUCUGCUUCUUCUUUCUUUCAUUUUCUUUUCUUUUCUUUUUUUUUGCUUGGUAUUUUGGAGAUUCAAUAUAGAGCAACAAGGAGAUUACAUCAAGAAUUUGGCAAAGCUCUUGAAGAAUCAAGUCCAUGCUUCAAAAAAGGGUUUUAUCUAUAAACUUGUAUCUUCACAAUUAUUUUAUCAUAUUUGUAAUGUAUUGCUAUAAACAUUCUCCUUUCCAUUAUAUGUAUAAAAUGGGCUAAAUAUUUCGUUGAGAUUUAUGGUAGUAGUUUGACCUAGGUUUAAUUGAUUUUCAAUAUUUGCUAUUUGAUAUUAAAUUGCCUAUUUCCAUGUAUUUCUACUAUUGUAUUUAUUGUAUUUUUAUUUAUGUGGCCAAUGAAUGAAUAUAUUUCGUGAAACGUACAUAGUUCGAGAGAAGAUUGUGCAUUUUAGAUCAAAUGGUAGAAACUCCAAGUUUGUGUAAUGGAUAGAUAUAUACCUCUAGCCCUAGAUGAUCCAAUGAGCUAUUUUCAUAACAAUUUAAUGCGGUUGUUUGGUUGUAAUCGACAUAGAGAUAUAGUAGGUUAAACCAAUCAAUUAGGGUUAAUUUCACUCGAGAAAGGUAAUUAGCUAAAAUUGGAAAAUCGGGUCUAACAUCGUAAAUGAGUAAUUUGUUAAUUAGCAUGUGGAGAAAUUAAUUAGGCGACGGUUAAGCGAAACCAUGAAUCCCAACCACGUUUUCCUCCAAAAUUCCCAAGAUUUCCAUAUUUUCUUAGUUUGUAUGUUUUUU
RNAcentral lists this long non-coding RNA (9354 nucleotides) under Olea europaea (common olive). RNAcentral describes it as "long non-coding RNA (OEUR_LNC007901)". Lineage: Eukaryota; Viridiplantae; Streptophyta; Magnoliopsida; Lamiales; Oleaceae. The record is from RNAcentral.